UGCUUGAUAGCUCAGAUGGUAAGAGCAUUGCACCAGCAGUGCAAGGUCAUGGGUUCGAAUCUUUUAAACAU
RNAcentral lists this transfer RNA (71 nucleotides) under Desmophyllum pertusum. RNAcentral's name for it is "Lophelia pertusa tRNA". It matches the Rfam family "tRNA". Rfam says of the family: Transfer RNA (tRNA) molecules are approximately 80 nucleotides in length. The record is from Rfam by way of RNAcentral. Lineage: Eukaryota; Metazoa; Cnidaria; Anthozoa; Scleractinia; Caryophylliidae.